Salvia splendens (bonfire salvia) is the source of this 2281-nucleotide long non-coding RNA. RefSeq lists it as uncharacterized. The record is from RefSeq and is a predicted model, not a curated record. The transcript is spliced from 4 exons. NCBI's taxonomy places the organism in Eukaryota, Viridiplantae, Streptophyta, Magnoliopsida, Lamiales, Lamiaceae.
GUUGCUCUGCUGCAUCGGCCGUUGUCGGGGCCCCGUAUCACAAUCACACUGGGUGGUUGAAUUGGAAUUGGUGACUGAAUUGGGCCAUUUUGCGGCGGUGGUGAUCGCCGGAGGUAAACCGGGGAAGAAGGCGGCAGCGUUGGAGAUGGGCUUGAAGUUGGCGGCUGUGAUGGAGCGUCAACUACCGUAGGUGGAAGCGACGGAACCGGUGUAUCAUAUGAUGGCUGAGGCGACGGAGAUGGUGGUUGGACGGGAGAAGCAGCCGCCGGAGGGGUGUACUCCGGCGGCGAAGGCCGCGGCCGUGAGCCGAAGAAUGUGAGGUUGGGGAAAAUCCAAAAGAAGGCAGAUUGGCAAGUAAUAGGUGAAAAUUUGACAUAUUGCAUCGUCGGUUCAUAUGCCCUCUCUCUCUUGCCUCAAAUACACGCCACAUAUACACUGUUUAUUUACUAAACUUACAAAAUUUCAAAACAUUUCACAACAUCACUCUUCCCUCACCCGCCUAAACACUCUACACUCCUCGGUGUAAACCAUCUCUUGUAUGCAAAGCGGAAGCGCACUAGAUUCUCAUGCGCGUCCACUUCGCAGAAUUCUUCUCGUCGUAAAGAGGAACCCUCACCACCGCCACCGCCCCCACCACCGCGCACUAGAUAUCCUCAGUUUGUGAUUUAUGGCUCCGAAAUUGAUUUUUUUAGGAAUUUGUCUUGGUUGUUUUGGUUUGAUUUUUGUUUGUCCGAUAUUUUUUUUCCUUCACAGAGGAAGAUUCUCGAAAGUUUUCCAUUGCUUUCCAUCAUGGUGGUUGUGAGUUCUAUUUUUUUGAUCCGAAAUACAGUAAUGACUGCGAGAGGGUUUAAUAGGCGGCCCUAUGAUGCCCAUUAUUGAGGAGCCACGUCUAAAGGAUUUCCUCAAAAUGGCGGCUACUUCCACAAAGCUGGUUCACAUGUACGUUGUGGAGAUAACCCGAGUGGCUAUUUUACUGAAAAAAAUGAAAGAUCAAGCGGAAGAGCUUCUCAGAUUCAGGGCGUCGAAACCUGCAGGAGUCAUUAUUGAAGAGAUUGAAGAAACCGAACGCGUCAACUGAAAAGGAAGAGGAGGCAGGAGGAUGAGUUGCAAGGGCACCGGAGGUUUGUAUAUUGCCUAUAUAGAUGAAAAGGUUUGCGAUUUGGGAACGACUAAUGUAGCUGUAACACAUGGUUCUGUAGUAAUCAAGACCAUUAUCUGAGGUGAGGCAUAGGAAUGUGGUCAGACUAGUUGUUUACAAUAUGGAUGGGCGUCAGCAGGUCUGGGCGUAUGAUUUUGCUCCACGAGGGUCCCUACACGACAUUCUUCAUAAACAGCAAGGCAUAGGCUCAAGCUCAAACCCAUAUCCGGCUUUAACAAAGAAUCCAAAUCGCUCUUGGAGUCGAGUCGCAAGGGGAUUAUGCUACAUUCAUCACCAUGACGAGGAAUUGAUCCAUCAUAACAUCAGAUCCAACAAUAUUAUGAUGACACUGCUAUGAUAAUUGAUCCUUUUCUAUGGACUCAAUGCCAAUUUUGUGAGGCAAUAUAAUUGAAAGAGUGUCAUCCUAGUCAGUCUACUGAUUGCUCACACACAAUCAGGAAUGUGAUGGUUACAACUUUGGUGAGAUUCUCCUUGACAGGUAAUAAAAUGCUAGUUGAUAACACAGGACAAGCAAGGCAGCGUCACUUGUGUCAAGGGCAGGCAUUACGACAGCUGGACUCAGACGUGGUACACAAGAUUGUGGAUGCUAGAUUAAAACAUGGCUAAAGUUGCACAAUUGUGCCUUGGAGAAUAUUCUCGCAAUUGUGCCUUUGCUAACCAAAUCGCACUCUCAGAGCUGAACCAACUGAGAUUGUUUCUUAUUGUGCAUGAAAGCAAGAGAUCUGAAGAAAGAUGCCACGCCACCCGAAAUGAAAGAAAUUACUUGAUGCUUUUGUAUUGCAUUUCCACUUUGUCCUGCUUUUGGGGGAAAGUUUGGAUCUUUAUUUCAUAAUUUCGCAACUAAGUUGUGGUUCAUCAUCGUUGUAUGCGGCUUUAUUUCUCCAAUGUUGCUUGUGAAGAUGGAAUCCACGAGCUCGACGCUGCUUGACAAGAUUACUCAAUCUCGUGUGCAUGGAUCAUGAAGUAGCUGUUGCUCGAUCAUAGCCGUUGGAGUCUUAGUUAGUCUUAGUUGUAAGUUGGUUGUAACUGCAAUGUAGUAGUAAAUGAGCUGUUGAGAGCGGUUGUAAGUAGUCUAGCUCAGCUACAAAUACUCUGCUUCUACAACAAGAAGAGAGAUCAAUU